Molecule: long non-coding RNA, 242 nt
Organism: Cyprinus carpio (common carp)
Lineage: Eukaryota; Metazoa; Chordata; Actinopteri; Cypriniformes; Cyprinidae
Exons: 3
Source: RefSeq, a predicted model, not a curated record
ACUACUUUAAGAGCUCCACACUGGCCUCAGACCCCUCUGAUGGAGCAGAGAAGUGGAGAAAAUGGGAUGAACUCCUUCAGCUUCUGUGGAUGCUGAUGCUCAGUUAUGAAGAAGUUGUGACAGGUCAUCUGCACUUCCCCAUCACAAAGCGUUUUGAUAGGAGGCAUGCUCCUAUUUGGAAAUCGAAUGAUCGAGUGAAAUGCUCGGAAGUGCAAGAGGCAGUGGACAUCUUCUGUCACGUG